AGAAAACAGAGUUCAGGGAAGUUCUAGUUCCAUCACGUUGACCCACACAGAACAGGUGUAUUAACAAUAGGUGUGCUUCCACAGUGACCGCUCUCCCAGCUGCCUGCUUUUUGCACGUUGUCUCCAUCCGAAGAGUCCUGGAAUGCCAGCCUUGUCUCAAGUCUGGGAGUAGAGGUGCCCGAUUCUGGUGCUGUGGUAUCACCCACUACAUCAAACCCCAAAGUUGAUACAACGCAGGAGGAGCCGCAGGCAUGAGACUGGUGGAGAAUGAACGUGAGGAGAGAGGGGCCAGAGGGCAGCCCGGUCCAGAGAGGAGAAGGCUCAGCAAACUGUCAUCCAGACCGACGCCAGGUGCAUUCAGAGUCGGGGAAGUGACCCAAGGCCACGGCCGGUGGACUGUGACAGGCGCUGUGUUAGAUGCUGUGUUUGGGCGGGAGCACUGAUCCCAUCUGGCUGAUGAAGGAAUAGUGCUCCGGAGAGCAAUUAAACGCGAUCCAGUCGGGCUCCCAGGAACAAAUAAUUUAAGACCGAUUCCCGACCGAACAGGAUCUUCUACUUUUCCUUUAUGGAAACGAGUUGGCCGCGCUGAGAUUCUCUCGGUGUUCCCCAGGGAGGCGGUUCUUAAAUUUGAAAACUGCGAAAGUGGAUCAAAUAUCUGAAGAGGGCGAAUGGAGAGCAUAAGUCAUUCAUCUAUUCAUGCAAAGAUGCAGGGCAGUGAUCUGAAGGAGGGGUGAGAGCUGAUGAGGGAGAAGGUCAGAGAGCUGAGUGGAUGGAGGAAGGCUAGUGGACAUCCACUGCAGCUGUCCAGGUUGGACACGGAAGGAAUUUGGGCAAGAGUAUGGUAUGGAGAUUGGAAAGAAGUGGAUGGAUCUGCGUGUCAACUGUAGGGUUUGGCGGUGGUUUGCUUACCAGCCAUUGGGAAGAGCAAAGGGUAAAGAACGACCUGUGGACUCCGCCCCCACAACCAGGAGAAGCCAAUGAUGCUGGAACAGGAGCUCUAGACUGUCAAGUUUGGGCCACCCACAAAAAGAGACUCCUGAGCCCCUGGAAGAGGAAUCACGGACUUUGUCUUACUUUUUCUCUAAACGAGUCAGAGAAGACUGUUCUUCUGUUUCACAAGCUUAUUUGUUUGUCUUGAGAGGGGGAGAGAGGAUCC
Molecule: long non-coding RNA, 1156 nt
Organism: Lynx canadensis (Canada lynx)
Lineage: Eukaryota; Metazoa; Chordata; Mammalia; Carnivora; Felidae
Exons: 8
Source: RefSeq, a predicted model, not a curated record